Long non-coding RNA from Vanessa atalanta (red admiral), 270 nucleotides. RefSeq lists it as uncharacterized. NCBI's taxonomy places the organism in Eukaryota, Metazoa, Arthropoda, Insecta, Lepidoptera, Nymphalidae. The transcript is spliced from 4 exons. The record is from RefSeq and is a predicted model, not a curated record.
CUCCGGUUCCGAUUUGCAAUAUGAUCAGAUUUGUAAUCUGUUCAUUUUUAAAGAAGAGACCGAUCUAAAUAUGUCUGUAUAAAUAUAUCCACAAGCGAUAUGAAAAAAACAAUAAGGAACUACUGGAUUACAAAAUGUAUUCUGAAAUAUAUCGUCAUCAAUGUUAUCGCCACAGGUUCAGCUUCAUCGAAUCGUCCACUUAAGUUUACGUCAGAUCAGAGUCUCCCGUUGUAUAAUAAUUAUGAUACAGUUAUAUCUGAACAAGAAAAU